Molecule: ribosomal RNA, 547 nt
Filed under: fungal sp. AB1
Lineage: Eukaryota; Fungi
Description: eukaryotic LSU rRNA
Rfam family: 5.8S ribosomal RNA (bases 191-344)
Source: RNAcentral
AGGUGAACCUGCGGAGGGAUCAUUACACAAAUAUGAAGGCGGGCUGGAACCUCUCGGGGUUACAGCCUUGCUGAAUUAUUCACCCUUGUCUUUUGCGUACUUCUUGUUUCCUUGGUGGGUUCGCCCACCACUAGGACAAACAUAAACCUUUUGUAAUUGCAAUCAGCGUCAGUAACAAAUUAAUAAUUACAACUUUCAACAACGGAUCUCUUGGUUCUGGCAUCGAUGAAGAACGCAGCGAAAUGCGAUAAGUAGUGUGAAUUGCAGAAUUCAGUGAAUCAUCGAAUCUUUGAACGCACAUUGCGCCCUUUGGUAUUCCAAAGGGCAUGCCUGUUCGAGCGUCAUUUGUACCCUCAAGCUUUGCUUGGUGUUGGGCGUCUUGUCUCUAGCUUUGCUGGAGACUCGCCUUAAAGUAAUUGGCAGCCGGCCUACUGGUUUCGGAGCGCAGCACAAGUCGCACUCUCUAUCAGCAAAGGUCUAGCAUCCAUUAAGCCUUUUUUUCAACUUUUGACCUCGGAUCAGGUAGGGAUACCCGCUGAACUUAAGC